This 492-nucleotide ribosomal RNA is filed under the name uncultured bacterium. RNAcentral describes it as "partial 16S ribosomal RNA". It matches the Rfam family "Bacterial small subunit ribosomal RNA", at positions 29 to 507 of the family's 1533-position model. The record is from RNAcentral.
AGUGAACGCUGGCGGUAGGCCUAACACAUGCAAGUCGAACGGCAGCACAGUAAGAGCUUGCUCUUACGGGUGGCGAGUGGCGGACGGGUGAGGAAUACAUCGGAAUCUACUUUUUCGUGGGGGAUAACGUAGGGAAACUUACGCUAAUACCGCAUACGUCCUACGGGUGAAAGCAGGGGAUCUUCGGACCUUGCGCGAUUGAAUGAGCCGAUGUCGGAUUAGCUAGUUGGCGGGGUAAAGGCCCACCAAGGCGACGAUCCGUAGCUGGUCUGAGAGGAUGAUCAGCCACACUGGAAUUGAGACACGGUCCAGACUCCUACGGGAGGCAGCAGUGGGGAAUAUUGGACAAUGGGCGCAAGCCUGAUCCAGCCAUACCGCGUGGGUGAAGAAGGCCUUCGGGUUGUAAAGCCCUUUUGUUGGGAAAGAAAAGCAGCAGGUUAAUACCCCGCUGUUCUGACGGUACCCAAAGAAUAAGCACCGGCUAACUUCGUG